AGCAGAGAACACCAGAGAAUGCCGGAGAGCCCAGAAAGAGUGAAGACUUGCUGGGGGCUGGGAGGUCUGCUGGCCCUCCAGCACCCCUGUCUACUGUGCACCUGCAGACUUAAUGAAGCAAAUAAAGAUUUACCAGUCCUCCAGACACUUUUUCAAUCUUUAGCAAAGGAAUUUGAAUGUAACAGUUGCUGAUGAAGAAUGACAGAGCAUUUUGGUAAUAUUGAUUGUAUUCCUCGAAGAAGCUGAAACAGCAGGAAGCAGGUUAUCUAGUUCAUUAGCAUGCCUUGCAAAUGGUUUCUCCAGAAUUGCCUUUCUGAAGUGGACUGCCUGCAAUGCCACCAGUCUCCAUGAAGUAUUGAAGUUGCCACUACAUUUAUUGUAUCACUGUUGUGAAGAAGACUGUUUAUCAGGUAUAACUGAAGCAGAAAAAAAUAGUUUAGACUCUCUGCCCAUUUUAUCUGGAGUCCUAGAAGAAAUUGUCUGAUCUU
Molecule: long non-coding RNA, 488 nt
Organism: Talpa occidentalis (Iberian mole)
Lineage: Eukaryota; Metazoa; Chordata; Mammalia; Eulipotyphla; Talpidae
Exons: 3
Source: RefSeq, a predicted model, not a curated record